Molecule: ribosomal RNA, 1532 nt
Filed under: Pseudoalteromonas sp. S185
Lineage: Bacteria; Pseudomonadati; Pseudomonadota; Gammaproteobacteria; Alteromonadales; Pseudoalteromonadaceae
Description: partial 23S ribosomal RNA
Rfam family: Bacterial large subunit ribosomal RNA
Source: RNAcentral
GUUGUAUGGUUAAGUGACUAAGCGUACACGGUGGAUGCCUUGGCAGUUGGAGGCGAUGAAGGACGUAUUAACUUGCGAUAAGCCUAGUCAAGCUAGUAAAAAGCACUUGAGACUAGGAUUUCCGAAUGGGGAAACCCACCUGCUUGCAGGUAUCGUUAACUGAAUACAUAGGUUAACGAGGCGAACGCGGAGAACUGAAACAUCUAAGUACCCGUAGGAAAAGAAAUCAACCGAGAUUCCGAAAGUAGCGGCGAGCGAAAUCGGAACAGCCCUUAAGCUUAUUAUGUGUUAAUGGAAGGCUCUGGAAAGUGCCACGAUACAGGGUGAUAGUCCCGUACAUGAAAAGACAUUUUAAGUGAAAUCGAGUAGGUCGGAGCACGUGAAACUUUGACUGAAUAUAGGUGGACCAUCAUCUAAGGCUAAAUACUCCCAACUGACCGAUAGUGAACCAGUACCGUGAGGGAAAGGCGAAAAGAACCCCUGUGAGGGGAGUGAAAUAGAACCUGAAACCGUGUACGUACAAGCAGUAGGAGCAGACUUGUUCUGUGACUGCGUACCUUUUGUAUAAUGGGUCAGCGACUUAUAUUUUGUAGCGAGGUUAACCGAUUAGGGUAGCCGUAGGGAAACCGAGUCUUAACUGGGCGAAUAGUUGCAAGGUAUAGACCCGAAACCCGGUGAUCUAGCCAUGGGCAGGUUGAAGGUUGAGUAACAUCAACUGGAGGACCGAACCCACUAACGUUGAAAAGUUAGGGGAUGACCUGUGGCUAGGAGUGAAAGGCUAAUCAAACCGGGAGAUAGCUGGUUCUCCCCGAAAUCUAUUUAGGUAGAGCCUCGGACGAAUACUUACGGGGGUAGAGCACUGUUAAGGCUAGGGGGUCAUCCCGACUUACCAACCCUUUGCAAACUCCGAAUACCGUAAAGUACUAUCCGGGAGACACACGGCGGGUGCUAACGUCCGUCGUGAAGAGGGAAACAACCCAGACCGCCAGCUAAGGUCCCAAAGUCAUAGUUAAGUGGGAAACGAUGUGGAAAGGCCCAGACAGCCAGGAGGUUGGCUUAGAAGCAGCCAUCCUUUAAAGAAAGCGUAAUAGCUCACUGGUCGAGUCGGUCUGCGCGGAAGAUGUAACGGGGCUAAACUAUGCACCGAAGCUGCGGAUUCAGAAUUUAUUCUGAGUGGUAGGGGAGCGUUCUGUAAGCCGUUGAAGGUGACCCGGGAGGGUUGCUGGAGGUAUCAGAAGUGCGAAUGCUGACAUGAGUAACGAUAAUGCGGGUGAAAAACCCGCACGCCGGAAGACCAAGGGUUCCUAUCCCAUGUUAAUCAGGGUAGGGUAAGUCGACCCCUAAGGCGAGGCCGAAAGGCGUAGUCGAUGGGAAACGGAUUAAUAUUUCCGUACUUGGUAUAAUUGCGAUGGGGGGACGGAGAAGGCUAAGCAAGCAUGGCGAUGGUUGUCCAUGUGAAAGUGAGUAGGGCGUUUGUUUAGGUAAAUCCGGACGAACAUUAAACCUGAGACACGAGACGAGUCACUACGGUG